CGGAAGUUGGCAGCGACCGGACGCCCGUUUGCUGCUGCUUUUGUGGCCUUGCGGAGCGAGUCCUGUCUCUGACUUCGUAGGCAUUUAACAAUGGACCCCCAGGAGGACGACGUGCAACCCCCAAAACAGCAGCCAAUGAUAUAUAUCUGCGGAGAAUGUAACACAGAAAAUGAAAUAAAAUCCAGGGAUCCAAUCAGAUGCAGAGAAUGUGGAUACAGAAUAAUGUACAAGAAAAGGACUAAAAGAUGUAUCCUUUUAAACUAUGC
Echinops telfairi (small Madagascar hedgehog) is the source of this 266-nucleotide long non-coding RNA. RefSeq lists it as uncharacterized. NCBI's taxonomy places the organism in Eukaryota, Metazoa, Chordata, Mammalia, Afrosoricida, Tenrecidae. The record is from RefSeq and is a predicted model, not a curated record. The transcript has 3 exons.